AAAAGCUCGUAGUUGGAUCUCAGGCCGUGCCGGGCGGCCCGCCCCUCGGGCGGUGUUCGCACGCGCCGGUCAUAGAAGCCGGUUACCCCUCGUGAUCUUGAUCGGUCGCGUGGGGCGACCGGCACGUUUACUUUGAAAAAAUUAGAGUGCUCAGAGCAGGCGAGACGCCUGGAUAAUGGUGCAUGGAAUAAUGGAAUAGGACCUCGGUUCUAUUGAGUUGGUUUUCUGAACCGGAGGUGAUGACGAAGAGGAACAGUCGGGGGCAUUCGUAUUGCGACGCUAGAGGUGAAAUUCUUGGACCGUCGCAAGACGAACGACUGCGAAAGCAUUUGCCAAGAAUGUUUCCAUUAAUCAAGAACGAAAGUCAGAGGUUCGAAGGCGAUCAGAUACCGCCCUAGUUCUGACCGUAAACGAUGCCGACCAGCGAUCCGCCCGAGUUCCUCAAAUGACCGGGCGGGCAGCUUCCGGGAAACCAAAGUUUUUGGGUUCCGGGGGAAGUAUGGUUGCAAAGCUGAAACUUAAAGGAAUUGACGGAAGGGCACCACCAGGAAUGGAGCCUGCGGCUCAAUUUGACUCAACACGGGAAAACUCACCCGGCCCGGACACCGAAAGGAUUGACAGAAUAAGAGAUCUUUCUUGAUUCGGUGGGUGGUGGUGCAUGGCCGUUCCUAGUUGGUGGAGCGAUUUGUCUGGUUAAUUCCGAUAACGAACGAGACCCCAGCCUAUUAAAUAGGCGUUCGGACCGUCGAGUCCGACGUUCUUCUUAGAGGGACAAGCGGCACCCUAGCCGUGCGAAACGGGGCGAUAACAGGUCAGUGAUGCCCUUAGAUGUCCGGGGCCGCACGCGCGCUACAAUGAAGGAGUCAGCGUGCGGUCUCCCGGUCCGGAAGGACCGGGUAAUCAUCGGAAACUCCUUCGUGCUGGGGACAGGGGCUUGUAAUUGUUCCCCUCGAACGAGGAAUUCCAAGUAAUCGCGAGUCAUUAUCUCGCAGUGAUUACGUCCCUGCCCUUUGUACACACCGCCCGUCGCUACUUCCGAUCGAACGAAUUAGUGAGGUCCUUGGACCGGCGCUCCCGGCCUUCCAAUGAAAGUCGGUCCGGCGAGCUCGCCGGAAAGCCGACCGAACUUGGUCGUUUAGAGGAAGUAAAAGUCGUAACAAGGUUUCC
RNAcentral lists this ribosomal RNA (1167 nucleotides) under Austrochilus sp. TAB-2009. Its description in RNAcentral is "SSU rRNA". It matches the Rfam family "Eukaryotic small subunit ribosomal RNA", at positions 622 to 1804 of the family's 1831-position model. The record is from RNAcentral. Lineage: Eukaryota; Metazoa; Arthropoda; Arachnida; Araneae; Austrochilidae.